This 253-nucleotide ribosomal RNA is filed under the name uncultured bacterium. RNAcentral's name for it is "partial 16S ribosomal RNA". It matches the Rfam family "Bacterial small subunit ribosomal RNA", at positions 524 to 776 of the family's 1533-position model. The record is from RNAcentral.
UACGGAGGGGGCUAGCGUUGUUCGGAAUCACUGGGCGUAAAGCGCGCGUAGGCGGACCACUCAGUCGGGGGUGAAAUCCCGGGGCUCAACCCCGGAACGGCCUUCGAUACUGGCGGUCUGGAGGUCGAGAGAGGCGAGUGGAAUUCCGAGUGUAGAGGUGAAAUUCGUAGAUAUUCGGAGGAACACCAGUGGCGAAGGCGGCUCGCUGGCUCGAUACUGACGCUGAGGCGCGAAAGCGUGGGGAGCAAACAGG